RNAcentral lists this long non-coding RNA (1477 nucleotides) under Salmo salar (Atlantic salmon). RNAcentral describes it as "lncRNA (ENSSSAG00000118705.1)". Lineage: Eukaryota; Metazoa; Chordata; Actinopteri; Salmoniformes; Salmonidae. The record is from RNAcentral.
GGUCAUCCAUGAUUUGACCUCGAGAGAGGCUGGCUGGUCAUCCAUGAUUUGACCUCGAGAGAGAGAGGCUGGUCAUCCAUGGUUUGACCUCGAGAGAGGCUGGUCAACCAUGAUUUGACCUCGAGAGAGGCUGGUCAACCAUGGUACAGCACUUUGAGAUAUCAGCUGAUGUAAGAAGGGCUAUAUAAACACAUUUGAUUUGAUUGAUUUGAUUUGAUGGUUUGACCUUGAGAGAGGCUGGUCAACCAUGAUUUGACCUUGAGAGGGGCUGGGCAGAGAGUGCUGUACAAUCUGAGCCGCCACACCGUAGCAUCCAUUAUCCGGGACGUUCCAAAAAUGAGAAGAGAACUGAAAGACGACCACCACCUGGUGGUAGAGCGCGUCUAUUUUCCAGACGAACAGGAAGCUGCCAUUACGCAAAUGGUAGUUGAAAAAUAAUACCAUAUAAGACUGUAGGAAAUCCAACAACAGACGAUUGAAAAAAAAAAACCCUGCCAUCUUCCAUAACAUCAGAGUGAGUUUAUCAACCACAGCCCCCAUCCUUCAGAAACACCAUCUCCGUAUGAAGCAAAUCUACAGAGUCCCGUUUGAAAGGAAUUCCCAACGAGUGAAGGAUAAACGAGGAUCAUGGAGUUGGAUGUCCGUCCCAUCGCCCCAGGGACUGAUGUUCAGAAAUGAGGCUGGAUUCAAUUUAGGCGAAGACGAGGAGGAGAGGAAGGAACAUCAUUGGUCAACGCGCCAUCAUUGAGGUACCUUGCCAGUUCGGGGGAAAUAUCACCAUAUAAUCCACAAUGUGGUCCUCCACCGCCAUGCUACACUUGGACCAUACAACACUGCCCAUCUCCUUCAUUUCCUGAACACCUUCCCGAGACAAUCUUUUUUAGCCAGGGCAGAGAGCGCCAGGUGAGGCUGAGCAGAGAGGGCCAGGUGACCCUGAGCAGAGAGGGCCAGGUAAACCUGAGCAGCAAAUGUAUAUUCUAAUUUGGGACCAUUGCGUUUCCAUCGUGCUGCUCAGGUCAGCAACUGGUUCCAUGACCAUCCCAGGUUUACAAUUCUCUAUCUCCCACCAUAUUCCCUAUUUCUCAACACCACUGAGGAGUUGUUUUCAGCGUGGUGGAGGAAGGUGUAUGAUCGCAAACCCCAUGAAUGUAUGGCUGUUCUCCAGGCAAUGGAGGAGGCCUGGGGUGACAUUCCAGCAGAGUCCUGUCAGGGGUGGAUGAGUUAUGCCAGAAGAUAUUAUGCCAGAAGAUAUUUCUCCCCUGCUCUCUGGCCAAGGAGGAUAUCGCCCGUGAUGUUGAUGAAAAUCUGUGGCCAGAACAAAACAGACAUGACUGAUUUUGUUUUUCGCAAUGGAGUAUUUGUUUCUUGACUUAUGAUUUUUACUGUAUUUUUGCUGUUUCUUUAUCUAUUCUGUACAAUUGGUCUAACAUACAAUACAGUAGUACAAAUAGGUCUAUUUUUCAUCCUUUAUAUAUGC